GACGAACGCUGGCGGCGUGCUUAACACAUGCAAGUCGAACGGAAAGGCCCUGCUUUUGUGGGGUGCUCGAGUGGCGAACGGGUGAGUAACACGUGAGUAACCUGCCCUUGACUUUGGGAUAACUUCAGGAAACUGGGGCUAAUACCGGAUAGGAGCUCCUGCUGCAUGGUGUGGGUUGGAAAGUUUCGGCGGUUGGGGCUGGACUCGCGGCUUAUCUGCUUGUUGGUGGGGUAGUGGCUUACCAAGGCUUUGACGGGUAGCCGGCCUGAGAGGGUGACCGGCCAAAUUGGGACUGAGUUACGGCCCAGAGUCCUACGGGGGGCAGCAGUCGGGAAUAGUGGACAAUGGGCGGAUGCCUGAUGCAGCAACGCCGCGUGCGGGAGGACGGCCUUCGGGUUAGAAACCGCUUGCGCCUGUGACGAAGCGUGAGUGACGGUAAUGGGUAAAGAAGCACCGGCUAACUACGU
RNAcentral lists this ribosomal RNA (467 nucleotides) under uncultured bacterium. RNAcentral describes it as "partial 16S ribosomal RNA". It matches the Rfam family "Bacterial small subunit ribosomal RNA", at positions 28 to 506 of the family's 1533-position model. The record is from RNAcentral.